Molecule: long non-coding RNA, 327 nt
Filed under: Ananas comosus (pineapple)
Lineage: Eukaryota; Viridiplantae; Streptophyta; Magnoliopsida; Poales; Bromeliaceae
Description: long non-coding RNA (ACOM_LNC030213)
Source: RNAcentral
CUGCAAGCCGUCCGUGCGCAGCGGGUCGUCGGACCCGGCCGCCGACCCAUCGAAAGAGUGCUGCGCGGCGCUGGCGGGGGCCGACCUGCCGUGCCUCUGCUCGUACCGCCACUCCUUCCUGCUCCCGUCCUUGGGCAUCGACCCCGACCUCGCCCUGCAGCUCCCCGCCAAGUGCAACCUCACCGCGACCCCCGGCUGCUGACUAUACAUAUUUUGCAGGGACGACUCAUCAUAUCUCUAUCUCCUCUCCUCACGGUCAGACCGUCAAAUUUACUAUCCAUCACAUACAGUGCUCGAAUCUCAAAGUAGUAUCUCCGCUCCUCACGG